GAGGACAGCGGUUCUAUUACGCAGCUCCAGCGCUCACUUGAGUGUCUGCUGCGCGCGGGCACAGGCCUCGACGCUUGGUGGAAGGAGGUCGACCG
Molecule: small RNA, 95 nt
Filed under: Alexandrium monilatum
Lineage: Eukaryota; Dinophyceae; Gonyaulacales; Pyrocystaceae
Description: partial Cyanobacteria transfer-messenger RNA
Source: RNAcentral